Molecule: ribosomal RNA, 497 nt
Filed under: uncultured bacterium
Lineage: Bacteria
Description: partial 16S ribosomal RNA
Rfam family: Bacterial small subunit ribosomal RNA
Source: RNAcentral
GAUGAACGCUGGCGGCGUGCCUAAUACAUGCAAGUCGAGCGAACAGACGAGGAGCUUGCUCCUCUGACGUUAGCGGCGGACGGGUGAGUAACACGUGGAUAACCUACCUAUAAGACUGGGAUAACUUCGGGAAACCGGAGCUAAUACCGGAUAAUAUAUUGAACCGCAUGGUUCAAUAGUGAAAGACGGGUUUGCUGUCACUUAUAGAUGGAUCCGCGCCGCAUUAGCUAGUUGGUAAGGUAACGGCUUACCAAGGCAACGAUGCGUAGCCGACCUGAGAGGGUGAUCGGCCUCACUGGAACUGAGACACGGUCCAGACUCCUACGGGAGGCAGCAGUAGGGAAUCUUCCGCAAUGGGCGAAAGCUUGACGGAGCAACGCCGCGUGAGUGAUGAAGGUCUUCGGAUCGUAAAACUCUGUUAUUAGGGAAGAACAAAUGUGUAAGUAACUAUGCACGUCUUGACGGUACCUAAUCAGAAAGCCACGGCUAACUACGUG